CUUCCCAGACUGUCGAGGACAUUACGAAUUCCAAGAUGGCCUCCAGGUAGCGCUGGUGUAGAUACACUACGAAACUUAAACAGUACGUCUUUUGAUUGGUUUGUCGGCUGGUGACGUCAUGAAGCGGCUGUUCACAGCCUGCUUGAUCAUCCUUCUAAUAAUUAAUGUCUGUGGAUCUCCGGCCCCACAAGGCCAACACGGACAGCCCCAGGCGGGGUCACCUAGUACCCCAGGCCCAGGUGGUGGCAACAUUAAGAAGGGCAAAGGAAGAGGCGACCCCUAUCCCAUUAACCGCCUGUGGAAGAGCAGAACACCACUGGGUAACGCCGAACCGUACAUCGUUCUGGCGCUCCUGAUAGGAUUCGUGACCGUCGUCAUAGGCUGCUGGUUGUCGGACAACUGCUGGUCACCCGAACCAGAACACCUGGUCACAAUUGCCUAGAAUUGGAGGCACUCCGGCUGACAGACCGGACGCGUUGUGACCAUCCAGCCCAGGCCACUUCGCCGUAGCCGCAGCGCCUUCAUAAGCAACAACAGAUCCACACGUGAUGUGUCAGGCAGCGUCGUAGCCAACUUCUGUAAUUGCUGUGGCAGUAGAGGAUAUCCUGGGAUGAUGCUGCAACAGAACUCACCGAACACAGCGCGACGUUGGUGUCAACAUGGUCCA
This is a non-coding RNA of Zootermopsis nevadensis, 667 nucleotides long. The record is from RefSeq and is a predicted model, not a curated record. NCBI's taxonomy places the organism in Eukaryota, Metazoa, Arthropoda, Insecta, Blattodea, Termopsidae.